UGAAGACAUAUAUGAGGUGAGAGAGCUCACUGAAGUAAAGGAGACGCUGUCAACACUGAAGCCAUCAUCAUGUCCAAACUACCUGGGUUAACACUGCUUCUCCUGCUUGGCAUCCUCGCCAGCAUGGUUAGCAACAGCUCAGGUUUACCACAACAUGGAAGGAAUAAGUGCAAGUGCAAAAUUUUGGCCACUGGGAUGCUGUCCUGCACAAAGGGAUGCACAUGCUCAAAGCGGCACAAAGAUUUGUUGGUUUGUCUUUGCAGGGAGAAUUUCGACCAGAUAAGGAAGUUGAUAAGAAAUGCUUAUCGUUUCUGCGGUUUCCCAUCGCCUCCCCUUUAGAGGGUUUUCUUGCAGA
Molecule: long non-coding RNA, 355 nt
Organism: Alosa sapidissima (American shad)
Lineage: Eukaryota; Metazoa; Chordata; Actinopteri; Clupeiformes; Clupeidae
Exons: 4
Source: RefSeq, a predicted model, not a curated record